UACGGGGGGGGCAAGCGUUGUUCGGAAUUACUGGGCGUAAAGGGCGCGUAGGCGGUUGGAUAAGUCAGCUGUGAAAACCACGGGCUUAACUCGUGGCCUGCAGUUGAGACUGUCUGGCUUGAGUGUGGGAGAGGAGAGUGGAAUUCCUGGUGUAGCGGUGAAAUGCGCAGAUAUCAGGAGGAACACCAAUGGCGAAGGCAGCUCGCUGGAACGGUACUGACGCUGUGGCGCGAAAGCGUGGGGAGCAAACAGG
This 253-nucleotide ribosomal RNA is filed under the name uncultured bacterium. RNAcentral describes it as "partial 16S ribosomal RNA". It matches the Rfam family "Bacterial small subunit ribosomal RNA", at positions 524 to 776 of the family's 1533-position model. The record is from RNAcentral.